GGCCGGGUGACUGAUUAUAGGUGAUAAACUGUAAAUUUAUUUAUGAAUUUUAUUCUCCGACCA
RNAcentral lists this transfer RNA (63 nucleotides) under Mordellidae sp. GENSP01. RNAcentral's name for it is "tRNA-Tyr". The record is from RNAcentral. Lineage: Eukaryota; Metazoa; Arthropoda; Insecta; Coleoptera; Mordellidae.